AUGAAUAUUCUAUUUUUGGAACAACCGGGGGGAUGCCGCCGGACAGUUCAUUAGGUAUUGGCCCUAUCAAAAGCCAACAACCCCAAACUAGUAUUUCUUUGUGAGACUAGGCAAGAGAAUAUGAAAAUUGAGAAACGACGAUGGAGACUAGGCCUGAAAGGCUUCCAUGGUGUAAUUAGUGAUGGUAGAAGUGGUGGAUUGGCACUCUUCUAGGAUGAGUCGCUGACAGUAGCUGUUUUUGAAGCAUGCAAUCGGUUCAUUGAUGUUAAUAUUAAGGAUGGGGGCUCCAACAUGUCUUGA
Molecule: ribosomal RNA, 300 nt
Filed under: Triticum aestivum (bread wheat)
Lineage: Eukaryota; Viridiplantae; Streptophyta; Magnoliopsida; Poales; Poaceae
Description: partial small subunit ribosomal RNA
Source: RNAcentral